UGAAGCUGGAUUCGCUAGUAAUCGCGCAUCAGCCACGGCGCGGUGAAUACGUUCCCGGGCCUUGUACACACCGCCCGUCAAGCCAUGGAAGCCGGGGGUGCCUGAAGUGCGCUGCCGCGAGGAGCGCCCUAGGGUAAAACCGGUGACUGGGGCUAAGUCGUAACAAGGUAGC
RNAcentral lists this ribosomal RNA (172 nucleotides) under uncultured bacterium. RNAcentral describes it as "partial 16S ribosomal RNA". It matches the Rfam family "Bacterial small subunit ribosomal RNA", at positions 1321 to 1500 of the family's 1533-position model. The record is from RNAcentral.